RNAcentral lists this ribosomal RNA (494 nucleotides) under uncultured bacterium. RNAcentral describes it as "partial 16S ribosomal RNA". It matches the Rfam family "Bacterial small subunit ribosomal RNA", at positions 28 to 507 of the family's 1533-position model. The record is from RNAcentral.
GACGAACGCUGGCGGCGUGCUUAACACAUGCAAGUCGAACGGUGAAGCGCCUUCCUUUUUGGUGGGUGUGGAUGAGUGGCGAACGGGUGAGUAACACGUGAGUAACCUGCCCCCUUCUUCUGGAUAACCGCAUGAAAGUGUGGCUAAUACGGGAUAUUCUGGGUCUGUCGCAUGAUGGGUCUGGGAAAGAUAUUGUUUCGGUGGGGGAUGGGCUCGCGGCCUAUCAGCUUGUUGGUGGGGUGAUGGCCUACCAAGGCGGUGACGGGUAGCCGGCCUGAGAGGGUGGACGGUCACACUGGGACUGCGACACGGCCCAGACUCCUACGGGAGGCAGCAGUGGGGAAUAUUGCACAAUGGGCGCAAGCCUGAUGCAGCGACGCCGCGUGAGGGAUGGAGGCCUUCGGGUUGUGAACCUCUUUCGCCAGUGAAGCAGGCCUGCCUCGUUUGUGGGUGGGUUGACGGUAGCUGGAUAAGAGGCGCCGGCUAACUACGUG